UACGUAGGCAGCAAGCGUUGUUCGGAGUUACUGGGCGUAAAGGGUGCGUAGGCGGCUCUAUAAGUAUGGUGUGAAAUCUCCCGGCUUAACUGGGAGGGUGCGCUAUAGACUGUGGGGCUAGAGUGCGGGAGAGGAAAGUGGAAUUCCUGGUGUAGCGGUGAAAUGCGUAGAUAUCAGGAGGAACACCGGUGGUGUAAACGGCUUUCUGGACCGUAACUGACGCUGAUGCACGAAAGCUAGGGGAGCAAACGGG
RNAcentral lists this ribosomal RNA (253 nucleotides) under uncultured bacterium. RNAcentral describes it as "partial 16S ribosomal RNA". It matches the Rfam family "Bacterial small subunit ribosomal RNA", at positions 524 to 776 of the family's 1533-position model. The record is from RNAcentral.